UUACACUUUAGAAUUUCGCAUUUAAUCCUUUGAUUCUAAGUUCCGAUUCUCUUGGCUUGCUGUUCAUAUUGAGAUUUCGUGAUAGAAGAGUCGCUGCUCACAACUCGUUUGUCCUAGUCUCGCUGCCCCGGAAGAGGUAAAGCUCUUCCCUUUGCAAUACUCUUUUUGCCCUUUGCUAUUUUGACUUGGCGUUAUUCGUCGUAGUAUGUUUCUGUCCUUCGAGUUCUUAAUGUCUUAAUUUGAGAUUCUUAUAGCGUUGUUUUAGUUGACUUAAAUUUAAGCUGUAAGUUUUGGUGUAUAUAAUUCUUUGACUGUAAAUCGUUAUACUCAUCUAAAAUCGAUUCGUAUAUUGCUCGAUAAUCUUACUCGUUGUCUUUUUUUUUAAAAUUUAUUUGCUUAGUGUGAGUUCUCUUCAUGCUCAUUUGGUCUCUAGUACUUGGAAUUCUUUCUCCCUGUAUAUCCCCUGCUCAAUAUAGGUUAUUAAAAUAUGCAUUCAAAUACUUCUCGUGUAUUAUUCCUAUUUUUGAAAGCUAAUCCGCUUUUCAAGUUUAGAUGUAGCAUGUUUAUUUGAACUAGUUAAUAGAAAGGUUUGAAGGUGAAGCCUCUCCAUUCCGUGAAGCUAGUGAACUAGUUGACGGUCUGAUUUAAUACAAGUGCGAGAUGAGUCUUUUUUGGAUUAGAAAGUAGUCAUUUGAGUUAGAUCUUUAACGAGGUUUGAGUUCGCUAAUUCUUAUCUAAAUCGAUGAGUUGGGUCUUAUUUUAGGAGCAUGUUAUAGGUUGUUUCUUUCUUGGUGAAGCAUAUAGUCAAGUAACUGGUUUGCUCUCCUCUUCUCUGUAAUUAUGUUGGCUUUAGAAGUUAUUGUUUCGAGUAUGGAUUAGAGUCAUCGCAUGUCCAUUCUUAAUUCAUUUUUUUAUGCGACUCAAGCAUUCCCAUUAACAUAUAUAGAAUUGUUAUCCUUGUCAAGCAUACCUUUGGUGAUGUAUAUUUGGAUUGUCUUGGAUUUUUGUGUAGUAAUUUUAUCUCGCGCAAGCUAUAUUUUCUGCCCAUUUGCUCUCUUUUUCUUUGUGUGUUGAUAUGUUUGGUUAUUUCUUUUGUACUUGUUGCACCAUUUCGAAUGCUAAUGUUGUCUCUUUUCGCUUGUUGUAUGAACCCCUCCCGAGUCCAUGAUGGACUUCUCUUCUUUGCAUUGCCGAGUUGAGCCAUAAAAGCUCUUUUCUUUGUCAUUCGAGUUGGCCAGGCCAUCGAGAGUAGGUGUACAUGUGGAAAGCAUCAAAUAGGGCCUGAAAUUGGAUUAACAGGUUCUGGAAAGCUGAAAGCAGGCUGAGGUACAGCAUGUAUACAUUGGUAUACCAGCUGUAUACAUACUAAAAUACCAUAUACAUGUCCAAAAACGAAAAUACAGGUUGGAGACAUCAAAAUGAAUCGUAUACAAUUGGUAUACGGUUCAAUAUACAGGAAAAUGGGCCAUGACACGACCUGUAUACAGCUGUAUACAUUUGGUGUAUAUAUAAAAUUUCAAGGGGCCAAAGUAGGGCCAAAGCCCAAACAAUUGCAGCAGGCCCAAGGAGGCCCAAAUUCAUUUCUCCUUUACUCUUAACUUAUUCAAUUGUGUGAUUAUUAUUUUUAUUAUUUAACUCUAACUUUCAAUUAACUUAAUUAAGAUUCCCCAAAAGAUGAGUUAUUUCUUUGUGUUGGUGUGCUUUAAAAUUAUUAUUUUUUGUGUUGAGG
RNAcentral lists this long non-coding RNA (1729 nucleotides) under Solanum tuberosum (potato). RNAcentral describes it as "long non-coding RNA (STUB_LNC007043)". The record is from RNAcentral. Lineage: Eukaryota; Viridiplantae; Streptophyta; Magnoliopsida; Solanales; Solanaceae.